GGCCAGUUAGCUCAGUCGGUUAGAGCGUGGUGCUCAUAGCACCAAGGUUGCAGGUUCAAUCCCCGUUUGGUCC
This 73-nucleotide transfer RNA is filed under the name Apaloderma vittatum (bar-tailed trogon). It matches the Rfam family "tRNA". Rfam says of the family: Transfer RNA (tRNA) molecules are approximately 80 nucleotides in length. The record is from Rfam by way of RNAcentral. Lineage: Eukaryota; Metazoa; Chordata; Aves; Trogoniformes; Trogonidae.